UGGGGAAUUUUGGACAAUGGGCGAAAGCCUGAUCCAGCAAUGCCGCGUGAGUGAAGAAGGCCUUCGGGUUGUAAAGCUCUUUUGUCAGGGAGAAACGGUGAGAGCUAAUAUCUCUUGCUAAUGACGGUACCUGAAGAAUAAGCACCGGCUAACUACGUGCCAGCAGCCGCGGUAAUACGUAGGGUGCAAGCGUUAAUCGGAAUUACUGGGCGUAAAGCGUGCGCAGGCGGUUUUGUAAGUCUGAUGUGAAAUCCCCGGGCUCAACCUGGGAAUUGCAUUGGAGACUGCAAGGCUAGAACCUGGCAGAGGGGGGUAGAAUUCCACGUGUAGCAGUGAAAUGCGUAGAUAUGUGGAGGAACACCGAUGGCGAAGGCAGCCCCCUGGGUCAAGAUUGACGCU
Molecule: ribosomal RNA, 399 nt
Filed under: uncultured bacterium
Lineage: Bacteria
Description: bacterial SSU rRNA
Rfam family: Bacterial small subunit ribosomal RNA
Source: RNAcentral